GAUGAACGCUGGCGGCGUGCUUAACACAUGCAAGUCGAACGAGAAAUGAUAUUACGAUCUCUUCGGAGUGACGGUUUUAUUUCGAGUGGCGGACGGGUGAGUAACGCGUGAGCAACCUGCCCUAUACCGGGGGAUACCAGUUGGAAACGACUGUUAAUACCGCAUAAGCGCACGAUAAGACAUCUUGUUGUGUGAAAAACUCCGGUGGUAUAGGAUGGGCUCGCGUAUGAUUAGCCAGUUGGCGGGGUAAAGGCCCACCAAAGCGACGAUCAUUAGCCGACCUGAGAGGGCGACCGGCCACAUUGGGACUGAGACACGGCCCAAACUCCUACGGGAGGCAGCAGUGGGGAAUAUUGCACAAUGGGCGAAAGCCUGAUGCAGCGACGCCGCGUGAGUGAGGAAGUAUUUCGGUAUGUAAAGCUCUAUCAGCAGGGAAGAAAGAAANGACG
RNAcentral lists this ribosomal RNA (449 nucleotides) under uncultured bacterium. Its description in RNAcentral is "bacterial SSU rRNA". It matches the Rfam family "Bacterial small subunit ribosomal RNA", at positions 28 to 474 of the family's 1533-position model. The record is from RNAcentral.